UAUAAAACUAAACUACAUGUCAAACACUGUAUUUAGAAUAGAUUUGAGAGAAUGAUUUUGAGACUAUUCAAAUGAUCAAGCUUGCUUAACUAAAGAUUUUAAUUGACAUGUAUUAUCAAACACACAGAGGAAAUUUUAAAUCUGCAGUAGCAGAAAAAAAAUUGUGUACCCUCCAUUUCCCAGAAAUUCCUUGGGAGGGACCGGUUUCAUAAAUAAACAUGCUGCUUAGAGUUUUUUAUGGUUCAAAGUUAAAAUUAAAGUCCAUAUUGCUAGUGAUAGAUUGAGUCUUAUUUUUCUCCCUUCUCUUCAAUCCCUCUCACUUUUUCCCUUUGCCCUUUCUAGGUAAUUCUUGACAUGGAGAUUUUGAAGAACUUACAGUUGGGUCUUUGCAAAGUGGCACUUACUAGUCAGGGUGUCAGUAAAGGCAAGUUACCCUUCCUGGAAGAACUUUGAAUGAGAUGCAAAGAGACCCUGGGAACUUGACCAGUCAAUCUUAGAAGCAUGAAGAGAAUGCAGUGGGAGGAAGUGGUGGCCGUGAGUCAGCAUGAGUCAUUCUGUUCCAAUGAGAAUGAAGGCUGACUGAGAGGUGUGUAUUUCUUUUUUUUUUUUUUUUGGUUUGGGUUUUUUUUUUCUGUCGUCUUAAUCUUUGGAACAUCAUUGGUGAAUGGAGGAAAAAAUAAGUGAUUUUUGCCUAUAUCUUUAGUGCUUUUCAGGUUUUAAAUUCUCACUUCAAUGAAACUUUGCAUGAGUGCAUAAAUGCAACUUUUAUCCCCUUAGGCACCCUGUUCACAAGGAGGUGGAGCAACAGACUUCUCCCUGAUCUUACUGCAUAGAUCUGGAAGCAGAGAAAGAAGACAUCUUGUUUCCUAUCAGUUGCCCUCUGGAACACCCAGAAAGGAGGAAAUGUUUCUAAAACUUGUCAGAAGUAAGUCUUCCUACACAGUAAGAGGAAUACUGGGAAGCUGUUUUAGGAUUCAUCAUACUCCAAAUCUGGAGAAUUGCUGUACCACUACCUCAAUAUGGAGGUAGGUUUGUAGGCUGAGAGCAUCCCGCUCCUAUUUCCAACUGGCCAUAAAGAAUAUCCUCAGAAGGCAGCUAGCUGUAUGACUCAAUAUAUUAAGAGGAAGGUUUAGAGAUAGGAUGUCCUGGGUUCAAAGCUGACCUCAGACACUUCCUAGUUGGGUGACCAUGGGC
RNAcentral lists this long non-coding RNA (1194 nucleotides) under Monodelphis domestica (gray short-tailed opossum). Its description in RNAcentral is "lncRNA (ENSMODG00000051420.1)". The record is from RNAcentral. Lineage: Eukaryota; Metazoa; Chordata; Mammalia; Didelphimorphia; Didelphidae.